This is a long non-coding RNA of Aricia agestis (brown argus), 131 nucleotides long. RefSeq lists it as uncharacterized. The transcript is spliced from 2 exons. The record is from RefSeq and is a predicted model, not a curated record. NCBI's taxonomy places the organism in Eukaryota, Metazoa, Arthropoda, Insecta, Lepidoptera, Lycaenidae.
GAUAUUUCAGUUGUUAAACCUAAUUUACUUGAUACUCAUGAAGAAGAACGUGUGAAAUAUUUCGCUGUAAUGGAUAAACCUAUUGAAUGUGAAUGAACAAAAUUUUGGAUUUUGAGAGCUCGCGACAAGGU